AAUGGCUGCAGUAAUUUGACUGUACAAAGGUAGCAUAAUCAUUAGUUUUUUAAUUAAAAGCUUGUAUGAAAGGUUGGACGAGAUAAAAUCUGUCUUUUUUUAAUAUGAUUAGAAUUUAAUUUUUAAGUUAAAAAGCUUAAAUUUUUAUAAAAGACGAGAAGACCCUAUAGAGUUUUAUAAUUUUUUUUUAGUAAUUAAUUUAGAUUUAUUAAUUUUAUUUUUAAAAAAUUAUUUUAUUGGGGUAAUAGAAAGAUUUAAAUAAUUCUUUUUUAAUUGAAUCAUUAAUUUAUGAAAGGUUUUGAUCCAUUAAUUUUGAUUAUAAGAUUAAAUUACCUUAGGGAUAACAGCGUAAUUUUUUUUUAGAGUUCAUAUCGAUAAAAAAGUUUGCGACCUCGAUGUUGGAUUAAAGAUUAGUUUAGGUGCAGAAGUUUAAAUUUUUGGUCUGUUCGACCAUUAAAUCUUUACAUGAUCUGAGUUCAAACCGGUGUAAGCCAGGUUGGUUUCUAUCUUUAUAAAAUUUAUAUAUUUUAGUACGAAAGGACCAAAUAUAUUAUAUAUUAAUAUUUAAUAAAUUGAGUAU
Molecule: ribosomal RNA, 580 nt
Filed under: Jeannelius birsteini
Lineage: Eukaryota; Metazoa; Arthropoda; Insecta; Coleoptera; Carabidae
Description: partial 16S ribosomal RNA
Rfam family: Bacterial large subunit ribosomal RNA
Source: RNAcentral